This 72-nucleotide transfer RNA is filed under the name Candidatus Pacearchaeota archaeon. RNAcentral describes it as "tRNA-Thr". It matches the Rfam family "tRNA". From Rfam's summary of the family: Transfer RNA (tRNA) molecules are approximately 80 nucleotides in length. Their secondary structure includes four short double-helical elements and three loops (D, anti-codon, and T loops). The record is from RNAcentral. Lineage: Archaea; Nanobdellati.
GCCUGUAUAGCUCAGCGGUAGAGCGCGACCUUCGUAAGGUUGAGGCCGCAGGUUCAAAUCCUGCUACAGGCU